AAGGGAGACCUAAUUCAGGUAUAAGACGAAAAAAAAGUAGUCCCUACCAAGAAUCAAUCCCAAAAGGUCGGAACGAGGUAUGAGGCUUUCAAACUAGGUUCUGGGUUCAUAAAAGAUCUGAAUCAGGAACAAGGGCUAUUAGCUCAGGUGGUUAGAGCGCACCCCUGAUAAGGGUGAGGUCCCUGGUUCGAGUCCAGGAUGGCCCACCUGCACAGGUGGCAAAAACAAGAGAAGCGAGGAAUCAGCACCUUAUCUUAUAUACAUAUAUAAGAGAGAAUGCUGGCUCUGAGUACAGAGUCCAGAGGAACCUUGAAAACUGCAUAGAGCUAGGUGAAAAAGCCAAAAAAGAAGACCGCAA
Molecule: transfer RNA, 358 nt
Filed under: uncultured Microcystis sp.
Lineage: Bacteria; Bacillati; Cyanobacteriota; Cyanophyceae; Chroococcales; Microcystaceae
Description: partial 16S-23S ribosomal RNA intergenic spacer
Rfam family: tRNA (bases 133-206)
Source: RNAcentral